GUGCCAGCAGCCGCGGUAAGACGAACCGUCCGAACGUUAUUCGGAAUUACUGGGCUUAAAGGGUGCGUAGGCGGCGCAGUAAGUAGGGUGUGAAAUCCCUCGGCUCGACCGAGGAACUGCGCCCUAAACUACUGUGCUCGAGGGAGAUAGAGGUGAGCGGAACUUAGGGUGGAGCGGUGAAAUGCGUUGAUAUCCUAAGGAACACCGGUGGCGAAAGCGGCUCACUGGAUCUCUUCUGACGCUGAGGCACGAAAGCUAGGGUAGCAAACGGGAUUAGAUACCCUUGUAGUCC
This 292-nucleotide ribosomal RNA is filed under the name uncultured bacterium. RNAcentral describes it as "partial 16S ribosomal RNA". It matches the Rfam family "Bacterial small subunit ribosomal RNA", at positions 505 to 796 of the family's 1533-position model. The record is from RNAcentral.